This is a long non-coding RNA of Gallus gallus (chicken), 4189 nucleotides long. NCBI's taxonomy places the organism in Eukaryota, Metazoa, Chordata, Aves, Galliformes, Phasianidae. The record is from Ensembl.
UACCCAGUUGGGAGAGUGAAUCAGGAUAUGAGACCUUUCAGACUACACAGCUGUAACUACAGUGAGGAAAAACUUGGAAUAUCCUGGAGGACAAAGGAGACUGCAAGACUCCCCCCAGUUUCUUACUGUGAAACCCUGAGUGCCCCAGUGUGAACCUACUGGCUCACACAGAUUUCUGGAGAUGGAUAGCAAGAGGAAGAAAAAGAUGAAGAAGAAGAAGAAGAAAUGAGAGAGAGAAAGAAGUAGACUAUAGCAACUGAUUUUCUACGGGAAAGCCCCUUUGACAGCCACUACUGAUGAUUAUAAGUUACGUCACUUAAAAGGAUGAAAUUACUCACAUAUCCUCAGGCUCUGUGGGGAGGCACAGCUCUGAAUCGCUCCAAGCCAUAGGGGAGGGUGGAAGAAGAAUGGACAGCUGAAUCAGCUAUGAGAUCAGUGACUCAACGGCAAGAAAAUUAUGCUAGCAGGUUGCAUUGUGGAGCCAUUUCAAGAUAGCCAAGCAGAUUUUCUUCCAGCCAGAACUAAAUCAGAAGAUGCAGGCCUGCCUCCCUUCAAAUGCUAUCAGGUAUGGACUGAUACUGUUUCCAACUCAGAGGAUCACCAUGUCUUACAAACACUAAAAAGAACAGCAUGCCACUCAGUGCCUGGGAAACAGGCAGUUGCAUUACAGUUACAGUUAUCCAAAAUGUGUCAGAAAAAGAGAAGUUCUCUGCAGAGGAAACCUGGCGUGCUGCAAGAGAAGAAAAUAGAGAAGCUGGAUCAUCUUUAACAACAAAAUAGUAAGAAAUCAGUCUGGUAUUUGCUAACCACAACUGUGAGUAACCAGUAACAAAUAUAACUACAGGGUACAUAUCUGAGUGAUUAUCAGAAUGCCAACUUUCUGAGGAAGGCAGGAAUUGCUUCGGAGCGUUAAAAAAUCCCAGUUUCUGCUGGCUCUCAGAAAUACCUGAAAGUACUUUAAUGAAAGAGACUUUGCUUGAAUUGCUGGACUUUACUGCUUGUAGAUAUUCCCUUAUUACUCUUAAAUUUUGUUAAAAAGUUUUGUUUAGUAUAUGUCAUUCAGAAUGUAUUUAGACAUCCUAUGACAGUUUUAUUGCAAAGAAAUUUGAAAUUGUUUCCUUCUCUACCUGUGAAGGAGGAAAAAAAACAAAAAAGUCAAUAGCUGUUUGGGAGGAUGUCACUGAAAACAUAUACUUGAGAAAAACAAAGAUAGCAAUUUGGUUUGAAUUUGCCAAGUAAUUUUAGCAGAAAUGCUCUUAAAAUAUAUUAAAAAAAAAAAAAGCAUAUAUGUAUUUAAAAAUAUAUAUAUAUUAAAAAAUUAUAUAUAUAUAUAUAAUGAAUUGUUUCAACAUAUCAAUAUUUGUGUACAUGACUGUAUGGGAACUGUUGAGUCAUGGCCUGAACCACUGAUUGAGCACCUAGGGAAAGGACCAGAGCAGCCCUGGGAGCACAGGUGAAGGCAAUUCAGAUGUAUGACCAGAAGGGCCGGAGCCUGGCUGCACCUCUCUUAGACCUCAUUUAAGGACUGACUGCCCCUGGGGAAGGAUCUCUAGUUGGAGAUCCCUCCCUUUGGAGUUUUCUGUCUGAGUCUAGAUCUUCAGAGAUGGGUGUGCACUUUUCUUUUGUACCACUAUUCCAUUUGUGUUAGUCCUUUUGCUACUACACUCAUGUAUUUCCCUUCGACUGUAUUGACCUUUCUGAUUUUAACAGUGACAUAAAAGUCAAAGAAAGGCUCUGUAGUUAGGCCAUUUAGAUUAGAAAUUCGAGGCUCAUGUUGCACUCCACCUUCUUGAGAAGUUUUGAACUGGUAUUACUGAAGAGUUGCACUAGCCCCUCACAAUUCCUUAAUGUAAUACAGAUAGGGUUUCUCAAUGUCUUUCACUGAGAGUGACUUAUUUAGACAAGGAGAGGUAGGGAGAGAAUGCAGCAAUUGAUAGCUGGCAAAGGUAUGGAACACCUGGACUCAAACUCCAUGGUCUAAUACAAAAUAGAAUGUCAACAAGUUGAACAUAAGCCAGCAGUGUGCCUGGGCAGCCCAAAGGCCAACUGCCCCCUGGGGUGCACCAGACCUGGCAUUGCCACCGGGUGAGGAAAGCAGUUGUCUCGCUCUGCUCUGCAUUGUGCAGCCUCACCUCAAGAACUGUGUGUGGUUUUAGAUGCCACGAUGUAAAGACAUAAAACUAUUAGAGAGCAUCCAAAGAAAGAGCUACGAAGAUGGUGAAGGGUCUGUUGGGCAAGGUGUGUGAGGAGCAGCUGAGGGCCCUGGGUUUCUUCAGCCCAGAGCACAGGAGCUGAGGCGAGGCCUCAUGGUGGCUGCAGCUCCUCACAGGGAGCAGAGGGGCAGCGCUGAGCUCUGCUCUGUGACAGCGGCAGGGCCCGAGGGAACGGCAUGGUGCUGUGUCAGGGGAGGAGCAGCUGGAGGUUAGGGACAGGGGCUGUACCAGAGGGCGGUGGGCAUGGAACGGCCUGCCCAGGGCAGUGGGCGCAGCCCCGAGCUGCCAGUGUUCAGGAAUCUCAUGGGUCCUUUCCAACUCAGGAUAUUGUAUGUUUUUAUGAUUCCAAACCUCCAUUUCCCUGACUUUUAUCAGUGUGUGUGUGUGUGUGUGUGUGUGUGUGUGUGUGUGAAAACUGAAAGGAAAUAGCAAACUUAAAGUCAAUACUUCCAAGAAAAUCCAGGUUUGGAGGUCAAAAAUAAGAUUUCCCUAUGCUAGAAGAAGUGGGUUCCAUUUAAUUUUCUAGGUUUAAUCUUGAUGAUAAAAAUAUCCUAAUAGUAUUAGUGCCUGUUAUUUUUUUUUCUUUUUUCUUUUCUGCAACUGAGUAACAACAACAAAAAGUGAAAAUAAAACUCAAUCUUUGUUUCAAACCAAGGUUCCUUGUAUAGUGUAACAGAAAUAAUUGUCACCAUUCAAAGAAAAUCUCAUUCAGAUGUUGCUGAAUAAUUCAUGGUCUGUUUUCUGACUGAACUUCAUAGCAGUUAUUGGAAUGUAACUCAUCUGACUGUUAGGAAUUCAUGUGACCAUUUAAUGCACAUUUAGAUACAUGUAGAGAUGUUCAGCUUUCUCAUCUGCAUAUCUGGGGCAGUGAAAAUUGUCUCAGUACCCUUUAGAUUUCCAGUUGGCAUUUGCUGAUGUAGGUUAAUGGUCACUGAGGCACAAUAUUAUCAUUGCUACCAUACCUCCCAUAUCUUAGAAGAAUGUUUCUGUUGCGUUUGCUGCUGUUUGCUGUUGUAUAAAAGGGAAAGACUUAAACUAAAAAAUAGCAUUUGUUGAGCACAAAUGUUUUCAUUUCCAAGAAUCCGAGUGAUUUAAUUAUAUAAUCAAUUAUAAAAUGUGCUUCAUACUACAAGCAACAUUCAGACAAAUUAUUUUAAUUAAUACUAAACUUUAAAAAAUGUCAUAAAAUGCCUAUUUUUCCCAGACAGAACAUGCUAUCUGUCACUGAUAUUAUAUGGGUAUUCAUGUUAAAGGACGAUUUGGUCUAUUCAGCAACCACUUUAAUCAACAGGCAAAAUUAAUUCUCCUUUUUGUUUGCUAUGUAUUUGGUGUCAGAGAAUGCUGUACACCAGCAUUUUCAGCCUAUGUUCUGAGCUAGGGUGCUUUCUUCCUUUGUUACUAUGCACGUCUUUUGAGUAUUACCUCCAUUUUUCUACUGAAGUGACACUUAUUUUUAUGAAAGCACAGUCAGAUCCUUGCAGUUCGCAAAGAGUGCGUUUAGUCUGAACUAAGUUUCUGUGUCUGAAUGGAAAGUAGAGAAUCAAAGGAGUUCACUUAAAUACUUUUUCUUUGCAUUCUGAAACUAACAAAACUUGUGUUCUGCCAAAACUGGUAAAGGAAAUUUAAUUUCCAAGAUAUGAAGUUGUGGAAGAAACUCUAUUGCCCUAGAGAAUGAAUCCUGGGGCAGUCAGAUCUGGUGUGGUAAUGCACAAAGCCAGUGCUUCAGAUAAUUCUCCUAAUCUUUGGAGGAAGUUAUGUUUAACAGCAAAGUUAACUCAAGCAAGAAGUGAGCUCUCUUAAAUAUCCAAACUACAGAAAUAUCUUGCAGGGCUUUUUUUUUUCCCCUUAGGUUCAAUAUAAAUUCAAUUUCAUAGGACUAUGUGAGCAGAGAUAGCUACAGAUCUGCAAAACCUGUAGAAAUUGUGUGCUUUUAAACUUGCCUAACUUGCUUAUUCACAAACCCCAUUAUAACUGUC